RNAcentral lists this ribosomal RNA (280 nucleotides) under uncultured bacterium. Its description in RNAcentral is "partial 16S ribosomal RNA". It matches the Rfam family "Bacterial small subunit ribosomal RNA", at positions 506 to 784 of the family's 1533-position model. The record is from RNAcentral.
UGCCAUCAGCCGCGGUAAUACGUAGGGGCCAAACGUUGUCCGGAUUUAUUGGGCGUAAAGGGCUCGUAGACGGCCCGAGCAGUCGGCUCGUGAAAGCCCGGGGCUCAACCCCGGAGGUGCGGUCGAUACUCUCGGGCUGGAGGCCGGAAGAGGAGGGUGGAAUACCCAGUGUAGAGGUGAAAUUCGUAGAUAUUGGGUGGAACACCAGUGGCGAAAGCGGCUCUCUGGUCCGGUCCUGACGCUGAGGCGCGAAAGCGUGGGGAGCAAACAGGAUUAGAUA